This 267-nucleotide ribosomal RNA is filed under the name uncultured Prevotella sp. Its description in RNAcentral is "partial 16S ribosomal RNA". It matches the Rfam family "Bacterial small subunit ribosomal RNA", at positions 89 to 355 of the family's 1533-position model. The record is from RNAcentral. Lineage: Bacteria; Pseudomonadati; Bacteroidota; Bacteroidia; Bacteroidales; Prevotellaceae.
CGUCGACCGGCGCACGGGUGAGUAACGCGUAUCCAACCUUCCCAUUACUGUGGGAUAACCUGCCGAAAGGCAGACUAAUACCGCAUAGUCUUCGAUGACGGCAUCAGAUUUGAAGUAAAGAUUUAUCGGUAAUGGAUGGGGAUGCGUCUGAUUAGCUUGUUGGCGGGGUAACGGCCCACCAAGGCGACGAUCAGUAGGGGUUAUGAGAGGAAGGUCCCCCACAUUGGAACUGAGACACGGUCCAAACUCCUACGGGAGGCAGCAGCC